AACCUGAAAGCCUCUGGCACCCAGGGUAACAUUUAUGUUAGACGCCAUACAAACCAACUAACACUACACAUGCAUUUAUAUUUGUGCAGCUUACAUAUUUUUACAUGCGUACACCAGAAUAAGGAUACAUUAAUAUGGCAUCUUUACACGCAUUUAUUCCAGUACAUUCGCCAGGAUAAGAAUCGUAUACAACCAGUCGAAUCGUGUAUAGAUGACCAUUAUGUAAUACUAAUUAUGUGCAUGAUAAUGAAAAUGUCAGAUUAGGCUAGCCUGUGUACAGCCGUUACUCUCGAUUAAGCGCGCGAGAGAACGUCUAUGAAUUGGAUGCAUAAUCGUCAAUUGUUCAGGUCACGUGGAUAGUUCCCAGAUUUGGGGACCGGCCUCUGAUUGGACAGUGCUUUAUUUGAAUAAUUUAUGACAAACGAAGCUAUUUCAUUGGUUAUAACAAUUCUUGAUCUGGAAUUUUAAAUAAAGCAUUGUCCAAUCAGAGGCGGUCCCCACAUCUGGGAACUAUCCACGUGACCUGAACAAGGAUUAUGUAUCCAACUCACAGACGUUCUCUCGCGCGCUGCGUUGAGAGUAACGGCUGUACACAGGCUAGAUUAGGCCAAAAAAAUAUGUGGGCUUCCGGUUUCCCGGUUCUACCUAGCUUUUGGACGCCGAAAUCCCGACCCCAAACUUUUUUUGGAUCAUGCUUGUAAGUGUUUCCACUUAGAGGAAAACGUUUGUGGAAAAUGGAAACUUAAGGCAAUAUAGGGAAAUUUAUCUUUGAAUGUGAAAGCACUGCCUAAACAAAAUAACGUCCGGUUUUUAGGGAAAAUUAAAAAAAGUUUAAAAAAAAUUAAAACCGACCUACCCUACCUAAGUUUUUACAAGAAGAAAUAGGAAACUCACAUAUUUCUUUGGCCUUAAACACAUUUUACUUUUUAAUUCACAUCUAUAUGAUAUUCAAGCACUUUUAGAAUACUAAUUAUUAGCCCAUGUAAGGUAAUCCAUGUACUCCUUGGAUUCCGGAUUCGUCGGAUUGAAUUCUGCAUUGUAUGUGGAUUACCUUACAUGGGCCAAUAAUUCAUAAACUUUGUGGCUAAUCAUGUCACCCAUAAUAUGUCACGUGCAGUGACUUUAUAUCUGAUAAAACACAUGUGGAUUAUAUAAUAGACAAUUCCAGCUUUCAAUUUAUGCGUGCAGGGGGUGACGGGAAGUAAGGUAUCAUCAUAGAAUAAGGCACACAGAAGGUCGACUCGAGUAACCGCUGCCACGCCAUGAUUCAUCAUCAAAAUGCUGACGCCAUGGUCCUAGCCAGUGCGCGUUUGAGAGGCAUUCCCCCUGGACGUUCGCCAUUUUGAAUAAUAUCAGGCGGGUGAAUGCUUCUCAAACGCGCACUGACUAGGCCAUGCGUCAGCAUUUGAUGACGAAUUACGGGUUACGCCAAAUCAUAGGAAAUUCAUAGGAAAAACCAAGAAGUAGGCCUUCUGUGUACCUUAUUCUGUGGUAUCAUGUUGCUGAUUAUGCUGAAAAAUUUCAAUAAAAACUACCGAAACAAC
This is a non-coding RNA of Paramuricea clavata, 1544 nucleotides long. The record is from the annotation of a GenBank genome assembly. Lineage: Eukaryota; Metazoa; Cnidaria; Anthozoa; Malacalcyonacea; Plexauridae.